GAUGAACGCUAGCGGGAGGCCUAACACAUGCAAGCCGAGCGGUAGAGUCUCUUCGGAGACUUGAGAGCGGCGCACGGGUGCGGAACACGUGUGCAACCUGCCUUUAUCUGGGGGAUAGCCUUUCGAAAGGAAGAUUAAUACCCCAUAAUAUACUGGAUGGCAUCAUCUGGUAUUGAAAACUCCGGUGGAUAGAGAUGGGCACGCGCAAGAUUAGAUAGUUGGUGAGGUAACGGCUCACCAAGUCAGCGAUCUUUAGGGGGCCUGAGAGGGUGAUCCCCCACACUGGUACUGAGACACGGACCAGACUCCUACGGGAGGCAGCAGUGAGGAAUAUUGGACAAUGGGUGAGAGCCUGAUCCAGCCAUCCCGCGUGAAGGACGACGGCCCUAUGGGUUGUAAACUUCUUUUGUAUAGGGAUAAACCUAGAUACGUGUAUCUAGCUGAAGGUACUAUACGAAUAAGCACCGGCUAACUCCGUGCCAGCAGCCGCGGUAAUACGGAGGGUGCAAGCGUUAUCCGGAUUUAUUGGGUUUAAAGGGUCCGUAGGCUGAUUUGUAAGUCAGUGGUGAAAUCUCACAGCUUAACUGUGAAACUGCCAUUGAUACUGCAAGUCUUGAGUGUUGUUGAAGUAGCUGGAAUAAGUAGUGUAGCGGUGAAAUGCAUAGAUAUUACUUAGAACACCAAUUGCGAAGGCAGGUUACUAAGCAACAACUGACGCUGAUGGACGAAAGCGUGGGGAGCGAACAGGAUUAGAUACCCUGGUAGUCCACGCCGUAAACGAUGCUAACUCGUUUUUGGGUUUUCGGAUUCAGAGACUAAGCGAAAGUGAUAAGUUAGCCACCUGGGGAGUACGAACGCAAGUUUGAAACUCAAAGGAAUUGACGGGGGCCCGCACAAGCGGUGGAUUAUGUGGUUUAAUUCGAUGAUACGCGAGGAACCUUACCAAGGCUUAAAUGGGAAAUGACAGGUUUAGAAAUAGACUUUUCUUCGGACAUUUUUCAAGGUGCUGCAUGGUUGUCGUCAGCUCGUGCCGUGAGGUGUUAGGUUAAGUCCUGCAACGAGCGCAACCCCUGUCACUAGUUGCCAUCAUUAAGUUGGGGACUCUAGUGAGACUGCCUACGCAAGUAGAGAGGAAGGUGGGGAUGACGUCAAAUCAUCACGGCCCUUACGCCUUGGGCCACACACGUAAUACAAUGGCCGGUACAGAGGGCAGCUACACAGUGAUGUGAUGCAAAUCUCGAAAGCCGGUCUCAGUUCGGAUUGGAGUCUGCAACUCGACUCUAUGAAGCUGGAAUCGCUAGUAAUCGCGCACCAGCCAUGGCGCGGUGAAUACGUUCCCGGGCCU
This 1345-nucleotide ribosomal RNA is filed under the name uncultured bacterium. RNAcentral's name for it is "bacterial SSU rRNA". It matches the Rfam family "Bacterial small subunit ribosomal RNA", at positions 28 to 1381 of the family's 1533-position model. The record is from RNAcentral.